RNAcentral lists this ribosomal RNA (216 nucleotides) under Triticum aestivum (bread wheat). RNAcentral's name for it is "partial small subunit ribosomal RNA". Lineage: Eukaryota; Viridiplantae; Streptophyta; Magnoliopsida; Poales; Poaceae. The record is from RNAcentral.
AUGGCUGGCAUUAACUAUGUGUUCAUCACUCUGCUGCCUAAAAAGGAUACUCCAAUGGAUUUGCGAGACUACCGACCAAUUUCUCUCGUACAUAGUGUACCAAAGUUGGUUUCCAAGGUUCUGGUAACUAGGCUGAAACCAUGGAUUCCCCUCUUGAUUCACAAUCUUCAGUCUGGUUUCUUACGGGGCCGUUCGAUCAUAGAAAACUUCACUUUG